Oncorhynchus tshawytscha (Chinook salmon) is the source of this 3553-nucleotide long non-coding RNA. NCBI's taxonomy places the organism in Eukaryota, Metazoa, Chordata, Actinopteri, Salmoniformes, Salmonidae. The record is from Ensembl.
UAAAAACAAACAAGGGAUAACAUGGCAUGUUCGUCCAUGAACCAGAAUCUGGGUUUUUGACGAGUGGCAGCACACAGAAAAGUAUCGCUUCGAAACUAGGAAUCUUGACCGUUUGUACAUUGUCAUGGAAGUGUGCCAAGUUAACAGGCAUGUCCGUCCUGAAGGAGGAUGUUGUUGCCUAUCCCUCUGUGGCAAAAGUUUUCGGAUCGUUGGAAUUAUUUGUUUUAUACGGGAGCUGUCGACCGAAAAUAUAUUCGCAUCUGGGCUCCGGAAAACUCGGACAACGAGUACUACAAGGGAUGUUUCUCAAUGAUCCUGAGUUCAGUCUGCGAUGUGAAGUACCGCUUCACCAUGAUCAACGUGGGGCGCAUAUGUUCUGGGGGAAGAAGCAAGGUCGGAGUGCUUGCCGGGGACCCAAACACCGAGCCCAUGUCUUCAUGGGAGAUGAGGCAUUCCCUCUGAGGGUAAACCUGAUGCGAGAGCAUGUACAAAAUGUACUUUAUUUUACAGGAUUAUAUAAUGCGAACAUUAUAUAAUGAAGCAAACAUGGAAUUACUUUGAAAUGUGAAGGUGAAGACUCUGAAGAUGUCGAGUGAAAGUGUCUUUCAUCCCUCUAUGUACUCUGUGGAUGAAAGGGAUUGUCUGGCUCCUCGCCAUUAAACCUAGUUAAGGAGGAAACUUGACGCCUUUGCAGCCUGAAUGGAGAAUGUUUUAGGUACAAACCAGUCCUCGGGGAAUACGAUUUAGCAUUGCAUUGGAUGCCCGAGAGUCCUCUGCUCUUAUAGAACGUGAGGAGGGAGCCAUUGGGUUGAAGCAGGAACCAGAACCCAGGCAAACUAUGGAGAAACAGGAGGGAAGGACCAGGAAGGAGGAAAAGAAACUUAGAGGACUAGACUCUGUCUAGAUGUCUCUCCUUACGAUGGAAAUGAUGGCUAUGAUCAGAACACACCUCAUUCAGUCAGUUCCAAACUCACACCGGGGAGAGUAGAGGGAGGCUCUCUGUCCAGCUCAUCAACAUCCAAACCAAUCAAAACAGAGACUGAAGGACUGGGUGUUUGUCCAUUUGAUCCGUCAAGUGACCCCAAUACAUUCUCUUCGUCAGUGAACCUUGACCUUUCGGCAGCACAGAAUGAGAACAGUGUAAGUAUGAUGGGGGUGGAAGGUGGUGAAGGACUACUGUCAGGGUUUGAGGCGCUACAGAUACCACUACACAUGGAACAGUCCCUUCAAAAUCACCACAACACAGCAUUGUGUUGCAAGGUGUGUGGGAAACCCUGUAGACAUAUGGGCCAUUUAAACGCACACAUGCAAAUGCACAUGAAAGAGAAGCCAUUACUCUGCGGGGUUUGUGGUAAGUGCUUUAGCUCACCGGGGAGGUUGAAAGGGCAUUAGCGGAUUCACACAGGGGAGAAGCUCUAUCAGUGCCAUAUCUGUAGGAAACGGUGCAAUCAGACUGCACACCUGAAAGUGCAUCCGAGUGUCCACACAGGAGAAAAACCGUUCAGUUGUCCUGUGUGUGGCAAGUGCUUCAGCCACUCCGCCAAAAUUAAACGUCACCUCCAGACCCACAGCCGUGAAGGCACCUAGGCUUGUGAUUUUUUUUCUCUUUCUCUCAAAGAGCUAGGGAUUCUGCGACUUUCUUCAAGGAAUGUUCUCUGAGUAACGCUUCUCCAUGCCAUAGUCUCUCUCUCUCAUGCAAUAGGUUUUGUAUUGCAUUAUAGUCAAUUUAGUGUGUUUCUUUUUGUACAUGUCACUGAAUGGAGUUUUUGUGAAUCUUUAAAAACACAACAUUUUACGAGUUAGUUGCUAGUCUUUCUGAAUUAUACUGAACAAAAAUAUGGUGUGGCAUAUCAAGAAGCUUUUUAAAUAGCAAGGUUCAUUAGACAGGUGCACCUUGUGCUGGGGACAAUAAAAGGCCUCUGUAAAAUGGGCAGUUUUGUCACACAACACAGUGCUUACAGAUGUCUCAUGUUUUGAGGGAGUGUGCAGUUGACAUGCUGACUGAAGGAAUGUCCACCAGAGCUGUUGCCAGAAAAUGUUAUGUUAAUUUCUCUACCAUAAGCUGCCUCCAAUGUUGUUUUAGAGAAUUUGGCAGUACAUCCAACUGGCUGUUUAAUCAGCUUAUUGAUAUGCCACAACUGUCAGCUGGAUGGAUUUUCUUGGCAACGGAGAAAUGCUCACUAAUGCAGUUGCUUCACAAAUUUGUGCUCAAAAUUUUAGAGAAAUUAGAGAAAUUGUGCGAAUGGAAAGAUGGGACCAACAUGUUGUGCUUAUAUUUUUGUUCAGUAUAACUGUGUUGCUUGUUCGCGAGGGUUGGUCCUGAGCUAGGCUCUGCUGCACAUACAGGUAACUGCUAAAAUAAUGAAAGACGGCGCCGACAGACAUGGCAGCUCUGCUUCUAGAUCCUAAGCAACUUUGCGAUAUUACAGCACUGUUGGAGCUAGGAACACAACCAUUUCGCUACACCUGGAAUAACAUCUGCUAAACAUGUGUAUGUGACCAAUAAAAUUUGAUUCAAUUUAAUGGAAAUACUUCAGUAAAUGAGCAAUACGAAGUAUAUUGAAAGCAGGUGCUUCCACACAGGUGUGGUUCCUGAGUUAAUUACCCAAUUAACAUCCAAUCAUGCUUAGGGUCAUGUGAAAAAUGCUGGGCAGGCCAUUAUUUUGGCUAUUAUGGCAAUGCCCCCAUCCACAGAGCACGAGUGUUCAGUGAAUGGUUUGAUGAGCAUGAAAACAAUUUAAACCAUUUGCCAUGGCUGUCUCAGUCACCAGAUCUCAACCCAAUUGAACACAUUUAUGGGAGAUUCUGGAGCACCGCCUGAGACAGCAUUUUCCACCACCAUCGACAAAACACCAUAUUAUGGAUUUUCUUGUGGGAAUAUGGUGCUGCAGCCCUCCAAUAGAGUUCCAGACACUUGUAACAUCUAUGCCACAGUGCAUUGAAGUUGUUCUGGCUCGUGGUGCCCCAACGCCCUGUUAAGACACUUUAUGUUGGUGUUUCCUUUAAUUUUGCAGUUACCUUUAUAUUCACUAUAGCAAAGAUCUGUGGCCCAUUGUUUGGAAGUGAAACAGACAUUUUUGUCAGACCCAGAUCAAUGCUUCUCCUGGAAUUAAAAGUACUUUAGAUACUGUGUGUGUAUAUAUAUAUAUAUAUAAGGUCCUAGUAUUAAACAUGUCAUCUCCAAUAGUUCACUGUAAACAGUAAUGAGUUAGAAUGGUCCCCUGGAGGUUUUUGUCUAGUUCCCGGUUGGUCCCGGGGAUGUCCCCAUGGAUGUUUUUAGGACUUUCUUGAGACGUUGUGUCAUGUUCCCCUGGAGGUUUUUAUCUAGUUCCCAGUUUGUCCUGGGGACGUCACUUGAUAGGAAUUAUUAUUUAACAUGUCCUCACCACCUGUGAGGUUUUGCUGUUUAUAAUGUGCGGAUUCGUCAAUUCUUUGUCGAUACAUUCUGUCUGUAUAUUGUGUUUAUCAUCUAUUUUCACCGUUUCACCAAAUCAAAUUCCGGAUAUAUUUAAAUGUCCUUUAUGAAUAAAGGUAACUCUGUUUCUGAAUGUUA